This 988-nucleotide long non-coding RNA is filed under the name Xyrichtys novacula (pearly razorfish). The record is from RNAcentral. Lineage: Eukaryota; Metazoa; Chordata; Actinopteri; Labriformes; Labridae.
CAGCCCCAUAAGCUUUGCUGGCGGAGGCGGGAUUUAUGACCUAUACUGCAGCCCAUCACCAGAGGGUGCUGUUCUCAGAGUGGCUUAACCCAGCAGACGGCGUCGAUUCUAUAUACAGUCUAUGGUUGGUAGCUACCCAUAUUUUUAUUUUGAUGCUAAUACUUUCGUGUUUUUACUUGUUUUGGAUGCAGCACUUUUACUCGUUCCAUGCUAAUCAUACAAGUAACAGGUUGUUAAAUUGAAACCAAAGGUGCAGUACAUAGAAAUGGAAAGAGUUUAUAGUAUCUAGAGGUCAAGUUCUAUAUUGGACUGCUCCCUUGCUCACCCCUGUCAGUAAAGCAAUAGUGUUUUGAGGUUAUGGAUGUUUCUGUUUUGAUUUUUUUAAACCAGAAGUGACUAAAUUUGUAGGGAUAGGUGGGAACAAGUAGCUGCAUUUCUACCCUGGUUGGCGACUUGUCAAUCACAGGUAGCCCCACCCCCAAAAUCCUGCCUACCUUUCUAGCCAGUUUGACUCUAAAUGAGAUUUAGAUCAUAAACUCAUUUGGGAAACAUUUACUGAGGGAAUCUAUCAACUGACAGCUCUGACUUCUAUAUGAUCAGACAAGUAGUGUCGCCCCCUACUGGAAAUAAUAGGUUUUGUUAAUCCUUCAGCAUACUCUUGCAGCAUACUCAUACCCUCCUCAUCUCUCUGUCUUUCUCUCUCUUUCUCUCUUCAGGUUGAGAGAUGCUCGCUCGCCCCGGUGGCCUCCUGACUCGAUCCAGAUUUGUGUUUUAUUUCAGCUGGUUGUUCUCCGACCGUUACACGCUGCCGGAGAUAAUCCUCUUAACUCUCGCUCUCAGUCAGAGACGGACAUCCUCUGAUGCUCUGGACAAAAAUAAUAUCACAGUUCGUUUCAGAUACAGUGUCCAUGUCCUGCUUACCUAAACCCAACAGGUAAUCCUGCACAGCUGCAUCACUACGAACUAUCAUAACUAUAUUUUACUGUGG